AGUAAUUGAGCCUCUCGGCAUGGGUACAGAGGCUGCGGAGGGAGACCGGAGUUGCGGCGGCGGCUCCCAGUUACUCCCGGUCUCCGCGCUCUGCGCCCCUCCGAGCCUUGGUCUCUCCGCGGCGUCUCAAUUCUGCUCGGCCUUCCGCGCCGGCGUUGCUGAUGGAGAGAGCGGUCUGGCGUGCGAGUGGGGGACGGAGGGAUACGUGGGGCGAUCGGGAAUUGCAUGUGGAUGUGGUUCUACCCAGGGCACUGAGUGGUCCUGCCCAGGUGGUAUUUUUCUCUGGCCAUUGGCACAAAGCAUCGAUCACACCUUCCCUGGAUCUUCGGCCAUCAGACACCUGCUCACCACCCACAGGGAGAGGAUCGAUGGAGUUACUGGAGACAAGGGGUGCUGGUCUCGCCUUCUCUGAUGUCGCCCAGAAUAUUCCAGCCUUAAUGAGACAACCCUAGAAAGACUGUUUCCACUUUUCUUAGCAGAGCUACAGGGAAUUUUCCAUAAUGAUUAUGAGAAAACCCCAAGCGUGAGAACAGGCAGGGCAUGUGAGCUUGACUUCCUGCUGCUGAUGACUCCCAGUGGUAUUUUCCGCUCUGCCCGCUCCCCUGAGUGCUAGACUAGUAUGUCCAGCUGUCCGCGUGUCCUCUCCGAUUGCGGGCUUAGAAGGCGUCUCAACCUAACAAAGCAGAACCUCGACUGGGCCACCAAUCGGCUCCUCUUGCAGGGGCACCAUUUCAGCCACAGGCGCUGCCCCUCUCUAAGUUGCUCAGGCCAAAGACCCACAUGGGCCCUUUCCUUUCCUCACCCCCCACAUCCAUUCUGCCCCUCAUCCGAUUGCUCCACCUUCCAAAGUAUCCAGAACCCAGUGAAUCACUCACCCCCUUCUGCCCUCCAUCCUGGUCCAUGGCCCCACCAUCUCUUGCCUGGACGCUGCCCUGGACCUGUUCUCCUUGUUCCUCCCCAUUCUUCACACUCCGAGGCCAAGAGUGAUCUUUGGAAGAGAGAGGCCUGACUGUAUCACUCCUCAGCUCAGACUCUUCCUGUGGCUUCUCCUGGCACUCAGAACUGAACUCAGACUCCUCCUGUGACC
This is a long non-coding RNA of Bos taurus (domestic cattle), 1087 nucleotides long. NCBI's taxonomy places the organism in Eukaryota, Metazoa, Chordata, Mammalia, Artiodactyla, Bovidae. The record is from Ensembl.